Molecule: long non-coding RNA, 962 nt
Organism: Tribolium castaneum (red flour beetle)
Lineage: Eukaryota; Metazoa; Arthropoda; Insecta; Coleoptera; Tenebrionidae
Exons: 2
Source: RefSeq, a predicted model, not a curated record
CAUUAUCUUUUACAGUCCGGGACAUUUCUAUUUGGACAUAAAAAAUUUGAAUUUUCUGACAUUUAUACGUGUAUUCAGCGUCUAUGUGAACAAAAAAUGUUCUCUCUCUCAUUCUAUGGUCCUUGAGCUUUAAUAACAGGGACAUUUUUUAAAUUGGUAGCAUUAGAAAAUGACAGUAAACAGCUGACUGAUGUAAACAAUAACAAAGGAAAUGUUAUAAUUUUAAUCUAUAUAACCCGUGGCUGCUUUAAAAGUGUGUACUAACGGGAUAAUAAAAUAUUUACGCAAGUAUUUUUGAAGGUAGAAACAUUACUUGUCAUAUAACAAUUAUAGAUUAUAUGAUGAGACGGGAAUGGCACAACACAGAAUUGCAGUCAGUGAUUGUGCUGGAGAAAGCUGCUGUGACGUACUGACAGUACUGACUAUCGCUGGUUGUACGAUUUGUGCACUUUGUGAUAUAUUUUGUGUGAAAAACUGGAAAACAAAGUGCAUACCUGCAUAACCUCACUUAUCGCAGUUUUGCACAUUUUGAUGAUGGGAAUUGCGGUUCAAGUAAUUAUGAGUUAUAGAUGGAGCUCACUGUUUACUUCAAACUGAAGCCUUUUGGGUCCACUUUUUUCGUUGUUAUUUCCUGGUAGCGACUAUUGUUUCAAGCAGAAUGGGUGUAAAGUUAAAAAUAAUCCCAUAAAAUUGUUAAUAUAACUCCGUUGCACUGGCAUGGGGUAUUUGAAAACUUACGUUUAACAAAUACGUCACAAAGUCUCAUCCAUCGUUGAAAAACAUAAUAAGGGCUUUAUAACAACAAGCGCUUUCUGAUUUUACUGUGGACGUGUGGAAGAAUAGUGUGAAAUAUUGCGAAAAACCAACUUUUACUCUUGUUUACAUUUUUGUACGUCUCUAUCUGAGAGUAGUCGUCUUUUAUAAAAAAUAUAGCCUACUAAUAAAGGAAAUUAGAGUGUUUU